This 27-nucleotide non-coding RNA is filed under the name Rattus norvegicus (Norway rat). Lineage: Eukaryota; Metazoa; Chordata; Mammalia; Rodentia; Muridae. The record is from RNAcentral.
UGCUCACUGAUGGUCUUCCAACUCACC